UCUGGUUGAUCCCGGCGGAGGCCACUGCUAUCAGAGUUCGAUUAAGCCAUGCGAGUCGAGAGGUGCAAGACCUCGGCAUACUGCUCAGUAACACGUGGACAACCUACCCUACAGAAGGGGAUAACCCCGGGAAACUGGGGAUAAUACCCUAUAGACUAUGGAUGCUGGAAUGCUCUGUAGCCGAAAGGUCCGCCGCUGUAGGAUGGGUCUGCGGCCGAUUAGGUUGUUGUUGGGGUAACGGCCCAACAAGCCUGUAAUCGGUACGGGUUGUGGGAGCAAGAGCCCGGAGAUGGAUUCUGAGACACGAAUCCAGGCCCUACGGGGCGCAGCAGGCGCGAAAACUUUGCAAUGCGGGAAACCGUGACGAGGGAACUCUGAGUGCCCGUAAAAUCGGGCUGUCCAUCGGUUUAAAUAACCGGUGAAGAAAGGGCCGGGCAAGACCGGUGCCAGCCGCCGCGGUAAUACCGGCGGCUCGAGUGGUGGCCACUAUUACUGGGCUUAAAGCGUUCGUAGCUGGUUUGUUAAGUCUCUGGGGAAAUCUUCCGGCUUAACCGGAAGGCGUCUCAGGGAUACUGGCAGACUAGGGACCGGGAGAGGUGAGAGGUACUCCAGGGGUAGGAGUGAAAUCCUGUAAUCCUUGGGGGACCACCUGUGGCGAAGGCGUCUCACCAGAACGGCUCCGACAGUGAGGGACGAAAGCUGGGGGAGCAAACCGGAUUAGAUACCCGGGUAGUCCCAGCCGUAAACGAUGUGCGUUAGGUGUAUCGGUGACCACGAGUCACCGAGGUGCCGAAGAGAAAUCGUGAAACGUACCGCCUGGGAAGUACGGUCGCAAGGCUGAAACUCAAAGGAAUUGGCGGGGGAGCACCACAACAGGUGGAGCCUGCGGCUUAAUCGGACUCAACGCCGGGAAACUCACCAGAUAAGACAGCUGAAUGAUAGUCGGGCUGAAGACUCUACUUGACUAGCUGAGAGGAGGUGCAUGGCCGUCGUCAGUUCGUACUGUGAAGCAUCCUGUUAAGUCAGGCAACGAGCGAGACCCA
This 1043-nucleotide ribosomal RNA is filed under the name uncultured archaeon. RNAcentral describes it as "bacterial SSU rRNA". It matches the Rfam family "Archaeal small subunit ribosomal RNA", at positions 1 to 1054 of the family's 1478-position model. The record is from RNAcentral.